GACGAACGCUGGCGGCGUGCCUAAUACAUGCAAGUUGAGCGCUGAAGGUUGGUACUUGUACCAACUGGAUGAGCAGCGAACGGGUGAGUAACGCGUGGGGAAUCUGCCUUUGAGCGGGGGACAACAUUUGGAAACGAAUGCUAAUACCGCAUAAAAACUUUAAACACAAGUUUUAAGUUUGAAAGAUGCAAUUGCAUCACUCAAAGAUGAUCCCGCGUUGUAUUAGCUAGUUGGUGAGGUAAAGGCUCACCAAGGCGAUGAUACAUAGCCGACCUGAGAGGGUGAUCGGCCACAUUGGGACUGAGACACGGCCCAAACUCCUACGGGAGGCAGCAGUAGGGAAUCUUCGGCAAUGGACGAAAGUCUGACCGAGCAACGCCGCGUGAGUGAAGAAGGUUUUCGGAUCGUAAAACUCUGUUGGUAGAGAAGAACGUUGGGGAGAGUGGAAAGCUCAUCAAGUGACGGUAACUACCCAGAAAGGGACGGCUAACUACGUG
RNAcentral lists this ribosomal RNA (497 nucleotides) under uncultured bacterium. RNAcentral describes it as "partial 16S ribosomal RNA". It matches the Rfam family "Bacterial small subunit ribosomal RNA", at positions 28 to 507 of the family's 1533-position model. The record is from RNAcentral.